RNAcentral lists this ribosomal RNA (301 nucleotides) under uncultured bacterium. Its description in RNAcentral is "partial 16S ribosomal RNA". It matches the Rfam family "Bacterial small subunit ribosomal RNA", at positions 509 to 808 of the family's 1533-position model. The record is from RNAcentral.
CAGUCGCCGCGGGAAUACGGAGGGUGCAAGCGUUAAUCGGAAUUACUGGGCGUAAAGCGCACGCAGGCGGUCUGACAAGUCAGAUGUGAAAUCCCCGGGCUUAACCUGGGAACUGCAUUUGAAACUGUCAGGCUGGAGUCUUGUAGAGGGGGGUGGAAUUCCAGGUGUAGCGGUGAAAUGCGUAGAGAUCUGGAGGAAUACCGGUGGCGAAGGCGGCCCCCUGGACAAAGACUGACGCUCAGGUGCGAAAGCGUGGGGAGCAAACAGGAUUAGAUACCCCGGUAGUCCCUGUCUCUUUACA